GGGAGACAGGCCUGGUUGCUGGGGAACUCACCCUGGGGGCCUAAAGGGAGGCCGGCCUGAGGAAAUGCCGUAGGAGUUGGGAAGCCCUAGGCCAGCAAUUCUCCAGGCUGCAGGGCCUAGUUCUAGGCUUCCUAGGGUACUAAGAAGCAUGGAAGCUCAUGCAUGGUCCUGUCAUCUCGGCUCAAAUAAUAAAGCUCAAUGCAUG
Long non-coding RNA from Mauremys reevesii (Reeves's turtle), 205 nucleotides. RefSeq lists it as uncharacterized. The transcript has 2 exons. The record is from RefSeq and is a predicted model, not a curated record. Lineage: Eukaryota; Metazoa; Chordata; Testudines; Geoemydidae.